Molecule: unclassified non-coding RNA, 22 nt
Filed under: Chlamydomonas reinhardtii
Lineage: Eukaryota; Viridiplantae; Chlorophyta; Chlorophyceae; Chlamydomonadales; Chlamydomonadaceae
Description: small RNA Cre_1252
Source: RNAcentral
CGCCUGUUAUUGCCAAGCUGGU